AGAGAUGGAUUUGUGCCUUCGGGAACUGUGAGACAGGUGCUGCAUGGCUGUCGUCAGCUCGUGUUGUGAAAUGUUGGGUUAAGUCCCGCAACGAGCGCAACCCUUAUCCUUUGUUGCCAGCGGUUAGGCCGGGAACUCAAAGGAGACUGCCAGUGAUAAACUGGAGGAAGGUGGGGAUGACGUCAAGUCAUCAUGGCCCUUACGACCAGGGCUACACACGUGCUACAAUGGCGCAUACAAAGAGAAGCGACCUCGCGAGAGCAAGCGGACCUCAUAAAGUGCGUCGUAGUCCGGAUUGGAGUCUGCAACUCGACUCCAUGAAGUCGGAAUCGCUAGUAAUCGUGGAUCAGAAUGCCACGGUGAAUACGUUCCCGGGCCUUGUACACACCGCCCGUCACACCAUGGGAGUGGGUUGCAAAAGAAGUAGGUAGCUUAACCUUCGGGAGGGCGCUUACCACUUUGUGAUUCAUGACUGGGGUGAAGUCGUAACAAGGUAACCGUAGGGGAACCUGCGGUUGGA
Molecule: ribosomal RNA, 520 nt
Filed under: Salmonella enterica subsp. enterica serovar Enteritidis
Lineage: Bacteria; Pseudomonadati; Pseudomonadota; Gammaproteobacteria; Enterobacterales; Enterobacteriaceae
Description: bacterial SSU rRNA
Rfam family: Bacterial small subunit ribosomal RNA
Source: RNAcentral